GUGUGGUUUAGUGAUUAGAGUGUCAGAUUCUAAAAUCUGGGAGACCAGGGUUCAAAUCCCCAAGGGGCCAUGAACA
This is a non-coding RNA of Podarcis lilfordi (Lilford's wall lizard), 76 nucleotides long. NCBI's taxonomy places the organism in Eukaryota, Metazoa, Chordata, Lepidosauria, Squamata, Lacertidae. The record is from the annotation of a GenBank genome assembly.